Molecule: unclassified non-coding RNA, 338 nt
Filed under: soil metagenome
Description: partial contains 5.8S ribosomal RNA, internal transcribed spacer 2, and large subunit ribosomal RNA
Rfam family: 5.8S ribosomal RNA (bases 1-120)
Source: RNAcentral
GAUGAAGAACGCAGCGAAAUGCGAUAAGUAAUGUGAAUUGCAGAAUUCAGUGAAUCAUCGAAUCUUUGAACGCACAUUGCGCCCGCCAGUAUUCUGGCGGGCAUGCCUGUUCGAGCGUCAUUUCAACCAUCAAGCCCCAGGCUUGUGUUGGGGACCUGCGGCUGCCCGCAGGCCCUGAAAACCAGUGGCGGGCUCGCUGUCACACCGAGCGUAGUAGCAAUCACCUCGCUCAGGGCGUGCUGCGGGUUCCGGCCGUUAAACAGCCUUACAAAACCCAAGGUUGACCUCGGAUCAGGUAGGAAGACCCGCUGAACUUAAGCAUAUCAAUAAGCGGAGGA